ACGAACAAUGGUAGGAGAGCGUUCUAAGUGCUGUGAAGUCAGACCGUGAGGACUGGUGGAGCGCUUAGAAGUGAGAAUGCCGGUAUGAGUAGCGAAAAAAGAGUGAGAAUCUCUUUCACCGAAUGCCUAAGGUUUCCUGAGGAAGGCUCGUCCUCUCAGGGUUAGUCGGGACCUAAGCCGAGGCCGAAAGGCGUAGGCGAUGGACAACAGGCAGAUAUUCCUGUACCGCCUCAUGACCGUUUGAGCGAUGGGGGGACGCAGUAGGAUAAGGAAUGCGCACGGAUGGAUGUGUGCGCCCAAGCAGUGAGGAAGUCAGGUAGGCAAAUCCGCCUGGCCAUUUCAAGCUGUGAUGGGGAGGCCUUCUGGCCGAAGUUCCUGAUUUCACACUGCCGAGAAAAGCCUCUAGCAAGGUCACAGGUGCCCGUACCGCAAACCGACACAGGUAGGCGAGGAGAGAAUCCUAAGGUGAGCGGGAGAACUCUCGUUAAGGAACUCGGCAAAAUGACCCCGUAACUUAGGGAGAAGGGGUGCUCUACGGAGUAGAGCCGCAGUGAAUAGGCC
This 561-nucleotide ribosomal RNA is filed under the name Bacilli bacterium. RNAcentral describes it as "bacterial LSU rRNA". It matches the Rfam family "Bacterial large subunit ribosomal RNA", at positions 1218 to 1792 of the family's 2925-position model. The record is from RNAcentral. Lineage: Bacteria; Bacillati; Bacillota; Bacilli.